GACAUAGGGGGCGAGCGUUGUCCGGAAUUACUGGGCGUAAAGCGCGUGCAGGCGGCUUUGUAAGUCCCGUGUGAAAGCCUACGGCUCAACUGUAGGAGGCCGCGGGAUACUGCGAGGCUCGAGGGCAGGAGAGGGAAGUAGAAUUCCCGGUGUAGCGGUGAAAUGCGUAGAUAUUGGGAGGAACACCAGUGGCGAAGGCGGCUCACUGGACCGGUUCUGACGCUGAUGCGCGAAAGCGUGGGGAGCAAACGGG
RNAcentral lists this ribosomal RNA (253 nucleotides) under uncultured bacterium. RNAcentral's name for it is "partial 16S ribosomal RNA". It matches the Rfam family "Bacterial small subunit ribosomal RNA", at positions 524 to 776 of the family's 1533-position model. The record is from RNAcentral.